This is a long non-coding RNA of Ipomoea nil (Japanese morning glory), 112 nucleotides long. RefSeq lists it as uncharacterized. The transcript has 3 exons. Lineage: Eukaryota; Viridiplantae; Streptophyta; Magnoliopsida; Solanales; Convolvulaceae. The record is from RefSeq and is a predicted model, not a curated record.
UACCAUUUUAUAAAUUGAGGGACAAUAUUUACACCACUAAUAAUUCAGGGAUGAUAUUGAUAAGUGGCAUAUUAUGGAGGGACAUAAAUUAUAAUUUUUCCUAAUUAUGAAU